AAUGCUCAGAGACUGUGGCUAUUUAUACUGCUCUUAUUGCAAUGCUGAAAACUCUGCUGAGAGUGAAAUUAUUUCAAAUCUAUAUGGGUAUGAUGCCACAUGAAGUUCUGGUUUGUAAUUUCAUAGCAAAGACAUCCCAUUUAUUAAAUGGGCUCUAGGUAGGAUGUUUGAUACAGAAUAUGGCAUUGAUCUACUUGCAGAAUGUUUGCAAGAAGAUAAUUUUGGUUCAACCUGUUCAGCAAGAUUCACUGUAGACAAAGAAAGACAGAAAAAUCAGCAAGUCAGAGAAUCUCAAACAAAUGUCUUGAGUUCCAGGGACUUAUUUAGAUUGUUCCACAGGAUGAUGAUAUGAAUGUCUUUGAAGGGAAUAGGACGAGAGGGUAAAACAGAGGUUCAUCUUCCUGAGGAGUACUCAACUUUUUUCCUCGCUUUGUCUCAGUGUUGACUUAACCCUGUUUUGUAGAUGGAGAAGACUUAGAAGUAAAGAACCAUUUAGAACGAGGGAUAUUUUGCUUGAGCAUUUUGUCCUUAUCUACAACUUAGGGGAAUUUGAAAUCUCAUUAUUCUUUCUUGAUUAACAUACCUUUAUAAGGUGUUCAGCUAGCAUGACAAUGAACUUGAUUUAUAUAUCCAGGUAACCUGAAUCUGCAUGCGCCAGGAAAAGAUUGAAGGCAAACCAGACCCCACACCCACCAUGAUAAGACAGCUGAGUCAAGAUGAAGACCUGGUCCUCAAGGAUUGUCUGUCCCACCAUGGGCUGUGGCCUCUCCAGGCUGUGUUGUUUCUUCAGCCUUGUGUCUCCACUGGGCUCAGCUGCUAAAAGGCUUUUGCUCUGCAAAAAGGCUGCUUAUACUCAUGGUCCUGUUGAUGUGGAUAUGCAACCACCAACUCUCCAAAACCCCAGGGAGAACCUUUUUUAGGAGGACCUGAGGAAAAUACAGCCCUCCUACAACUGCAGCCUCAAUGGUGGCCAGCAGAGUACCCUGGACGAGAGCUGAUUUCCAAUGGCCUCAUUAUGCUGCCUUGGGGAGAGAGAAGGGAGCCCAGAGGAGACAGCCCAAAGUGCUACAGCUGGGCUAUGAGGGGAUCCCAUUUGUCUCAGAGAGGAUACCCCACCCCUCUGCAUCACAGAGGUGUCUGAGCCAGUCUGGGGUCCUUCUUCCCCUGAAGAGCAGCCACUGACAACAUCUGCUGCCCCUCCAGGGGGGAAGGUGGUUGUUCAGGUGAGUGGGCUCAGCCUCCCAUC
Molecule: long non-coding RNA, 1246 nt
Filed under: Junco hyemalis (dark-eyed junco)
Lineage: Eukaryota; Metazoa; Chordata; Aves; Passeriformes; Passerellidae
Description: lncRNA (ENSJHYG00000002326.1)
Source: RNAcentral